GACGAACGCUGGCGGCGUGCUUAACACAUGCAAGUCGAACGUGAUUUUUAAGGAAAGCCCUUCGGGGUGGGAAUUAAAAUGAAAGUGGCGAACGGGUGAGUAACACGUGAGCAACCUACCUUACACAGGGGGAUAGCCGUUGGAAACGACGAUUAAUACCGCAUGAGACCACAGAAUCGCAUGAUAUAGGGGUCAAAGAUUUAUCGGUGUAAGAAGGGCUCGCGUCUGAUUAGCUAGUUGGAAGGGUAAAGGCCUACCAAGGCGACGAUCAGUAGCCGGUCUGAGAGGAUGAACGGCCACAUUGGAACUGAGACACGGUCCAAACUCCUACGGGAGGCAGCAGUGGGGAAUAUUGCACAAUGGGGGGAACCCUGAUGCAGCGACGCCGCGUGAGCGAAGAAGGUUUUCGAAUCGUAAAGCUCUGUCCUANGAGAAGAUAANGACGNU
Molecule: ribosomal RNA, 447 nt
Filed under: uncultured bacterium
Lineage: Bacteria
Description: bacterial SSU rRNA
Rfam family: Bacterial small subunit ribosomal RNA
Source: RNAcentral